UGAGCCAUCUGAAAACUGCUUUCUACAAUCAAUUGUAAGGGCUUUCUAUUCCCUUUUUUAAAAUUAUUUCUGUUUUCAAAUUUACCUUCCCCUCCUGUUCUCUGGCAUACUUUUUCAUUCUUUGUUUGCCUAACUCCUUUGUUACAGAAGAUGCAACAAGUUAAGGGUUGGCUUCAUUUAUAAUGUUCAAAUGCAACAAAGUAUCAUAUAUAAAAGUAAAUUGGCUAAUGUAGGGUUUGUGUUUGGGGCGAUGCCAACUAGUUGUAUAUCAAGUUAUUGGGGGAAAAAAAGAAUGAUGAAAUUUGGAGAGGUUAAAUUUCUCGCAUUCUUAGUAUAGCAGUUAAAUGAAAGUCCCCAACUCAAUUGAGUUCUCAUACCAGUUCUCAUUUUAGCUCUCUAUUCAUUUCCCUUAAGCAUUUUAAGAUAUGCCAAAUCAUUCCGCAGGCCAAGAGAGGAGGGUAUGAGUUGAGUGCCAAAGCAUGUUAGCAUGUAGUAAAAAUGCCCAAAAAAAAUCACUGUUAUUGAGGGCUUUGAUCAUAUAAAUUAGGGGAAAUAUUCCAUAGUAAUAAGAUUUGCAAAUUUUUUCCAUUAUGAAUAGUAAAUUGAAUAAUUUUUACAUCUCCAAUUGCUGCAUGAAAUAAGCUUCAUUUGACUAAACAUCCAUAAACCCUCAAUGCUUAAAAAAUAAGACACAAAAAGGUCAAAAACAUAUUGUAUCCGUAAGGUAGCUUAGUCUUUUUCAUGUUAUUUACAUAUUUGGCAUAAUCUCUAGUAAAUGCCUCCUUAACAAUUAGCCCAAUUCAUAUCAAUGAUCUUUUUAUUUAUGUUUUUGAAUUUCUCAGUUUACAUUUUUGAAUGUUCUCAAUUACAUCCAAGGGGGAGUUUUAAAUGAAGCCAUCAAUGCUUGCAAAUGACUUUUCUUUUAAUAAUGUUUGCAGCAGUAUGACAGAGUCACUGGACAGAAUUUGGAAAAAAAUAACAAAGAGCUUCAGUAGUAUUUGGGGAAGUAUAGAAGAGAAAAACUUGUGUGGAUGAAAAUGCAAACCCAAGUUAAGGGUGUCUUGGUAAUAGGACAGAAACGUGAUGGCAUAAUGUACAUGACAUAUCUUUUCUAAUCACUUGAAAAUAAACCCCUUGGAGUCCACAGAGAAACACUGUGCCAUUAAUUCUGCUCUGCUCUCUUGCACACUAACAGUUCCUGUCAGCUAUUAUUGCCUUCUGCCACUUAAGCAUAUAUACAAUUUUUAUUUUUAUUUUUAUUAUUUAUUUAUUUAUUUAUUUAUUUAUUUAUUUAUUUUUGA
This 1301-nucleotide long non-coding RNA is filed under the name Pan troglodytes (chimpanzee). RNAcentral describes it as "long non-coding RNA NONPTRT010558". Lineage: Eukaryota; Metazoa; Chordata; Mammalia; Primates; Hominidae. The record is from RNAcentral.